GUGUGUGUGUGUGUGUGUGUGUGUGUGUGUGUGUGUGUGUGUGUGUGUGUGUGUGUGUGUGUGUGUGUGUGUGUGUGUGUGUGUGUGUGUGUGUGUGUGUGUGUGUGUGUGUGUGUGUGUGUGUGUGUGUGUGUGUGUGUGUGUGUGUGUGUGUGUGUGUGUGUGAGGCAUCAGCAUGAAGGACUAUUGAUACUGGAAUACUGCUCAUCUUAAUUUCUGGAAUUUGGGAUAUAUUGCAGAUCUAAGGCUGGUGGAGGCUGUUCAGGGACAAUGGACAAAGAACAUGUAAAACAAAGAACACAUGGAUUACUUCCAAAGACUGAAAGCUUCAGAUUUAUACCCGGUUCACGGUUGACUGUUGCGCCACUUAAACAUUUUCUUUUAGAAUGUCAAGUUUAUGAAAAUAUAAGAAAUAAAUUUAAUUUCCAAUCAAUUUAUCAAAACAAAGAAGAAAUAACAGCAGAAACAUUACUUUCAGUGAUCAAAGAAUCAAACAUAUAAAAGAGAAAAAAGGAUACAUCAAAACUAUCUGGAAAAUGAGAUACAAAUCAGCACAGAAAUUGCAACAUGACUUGAGAAACCAGCUAGUGGGAGCCGAUGCCAAGGCUUAUCCCACACCUACUACUGAACUCAACUGUCACAUGAUAAAGUAUUGGCAAGUUCUUCAUGGUCAUUGCACUAUUGCUCCUAAACAUAUGUUCUUUAACCCAACACUAGAUACCACAAGAGGUCAUCAGUACAAGAAUGUUCAAGUGAGAAUGGUUCUUCAAUAUCAGAAGAAUUACACUUUGGAACUCUUCCCCAAAAUAGUAUUUGUUUCAAGGAGUGAGUGAGGCAGGAUGAGUCUGAUGGGUGCUUAGGCUGAGAGUCACGCCGCAGGGUCAGUGAGGGGUACGGCCGGCAGUAUGGUGACUCCUACGGCGGCGGUAGGUCAUCACAGGAGUACUCAUGUGACAGGAGCAGCAGUUGGGGGGCGGUCACAGGGGAGGGGGCUGAUGGCGAAACCAUGGGAGGGGGAGAUGGUGCCGGGGAGUGGCAGGGUGGCCGGCCUUAUGCUGCAGGGGACGGCCACUGCUCCGGACAUCAUGGCGUAUGGAUAACCUGGAGUCCGAAGUGGCACUUAAUAUUCUCAAUGCUGUGGUGACUAAUAAAGAAGAGGCACAGUGGGCAAGACAGAGGGACUGGGAAGGCAGACAGAAGAGGAGGAUGGACUGGGACGACCAGUACUAUGGGUCUGGCUGCGGCAUCCUACCCACCCCCCAGAUGCCCCCACGUUAACUGCCCCGGCGCAACCCUAACAUUGGCCCUGCACACUCCUGGGGUGUGGUGGGGGGCUUUGUACCAGGGCGGCCGGGGCGGGGGCAGGGUGGAGCAACAGGGCCGGGGUACAAGAUGAAGAAAACGUUGCCGGCUAAGAAGAAAAUAGGAGCUAAGGAGGUUUAGACAAGUGGUGGUGGUGGUGGUGGUGGUGCUGGUGGUGGUGUGAAACCGAGGAUAAGACUGUAUCAUCAGUCUGAUGAUAUUUGGAAUAUCAAUUAUUUAACUUUGCAACACCUGAGGACAAGACAGGAGCCAGGCAGGAGGGUCAUAGGAUGCCAGUUGGAUGUGGUGAAGGAUGUUUUUUGUCUGGGAAGGAUAAUGAGGAAGUGAAAUUGAGUUGCUAAUCUGUAGAUAAAAUGAUAAAAGAUGAAUAAGUGAAAUAAAAAAAAAAAAUGUGGUGUUUUGGAAUAUAUAGAACAGUGGGGCUUAGUGUGUGUGUAUGUGUGUGUGUGCUGGGGGAUGUAUCUUUGUUAAUUAGAAAGAAUAUAAGAGAUGAAUAUAAUGGUGGGAAUAUAAGAGAUGAAUAUAAUGGUGGGAUAUAUAGCAAUUUUUUUUAGUUCAGAAGAAAUAAGUUUGGUUUGAGUUUAUAUAUGAAUGGGAAAAAAGCUAAAAGAGAGAGAGAGAGAGAUUUAUAAUGAACUGGAAUGUAAAGCAGUACAAAACUGUAAAAGAAAGGGAUUGAUGUUUAGUUUAGAUUAAUUUGUGUAAAGUAGAGUAAAAAAAAAAAUAAUGUGUUUUGAGUUGAUGUAUCAGUGUACCCUAGAAAAUGGAGGAGAAAUUAUUGUUUCUUUAAAUUUUAUGUCAUUGUAAACUAGAAAAUAUAAAUAGUUUUUUUUCAUUUUCUAGAUCAUUAUAAAAUUGAAAAAUAAUAUAGCAGUGGUGUUUAUAUAUA
This is a long non-coding RNA of Scylla paramamosain (green mud crab), 2212 nucleotides long. RefSeq lists it as uncharacterized. The transcript is spliced from 5 exons. The record is from RefSeq and is a predicted model, not a curated record. Lineage: Eukaryota; Metazoa; Arthropoda; Malacostraca; Decapoda; Portunidae.